RNAcentral lists this long non-coding RNA (1256 nucleotides) under Rattus norvegicus (Norway rat). RNAcentral describes it as "long non-coding RNA NONRATT011498". Lineage: Eukaryota; Metazoa; Chordata; Mammalia; Rodentia; Muridae. The record is from RNAcentral.
AAACAGUUCAGGAUCCAAGGGGUCGUCCACCAAAUCAGAGAGUAGUGGGACCUCAGCUCGGAGCAACUCUGGUGUCUCCCAUCAGAAUAGUUCCACAAGUGAAGGCGAUAGAUCUGUUUGCAGCCAAAGCAGCAGCAAUUCCUCUCAGAUUUCAGAAGAAUGUGGAGAAGACUAGAGAGCCAUGGUCAGUUCUUUAAUGAUUGUGUAUUCGUGUGGACUGCAUCUGUUAGUAAUGAAGUAAAAUCUGUAUCUUAGGUGACUCUUAAUUAAAAGUCUGGUCUAAGGUAUAUGACUUCGGGCCUUCUGGCUUUCUAGGAGCUGCACACCAAACAGUAAUGGAGAUAGUAUGCAGUAAAAAGACCUCAUUCACUAGUUGUAUUGGUAUUGGAAGGUUGGACAUAAGCACAGUUUAAGUGUAUAAAAAUUAUUUUGUAGUUUAAGAAUAAUAAAGAUGUUUAGUUUCCUGAGCUUGAACUGAAAUAAUCAGGGAUGUUUGUAAUUUGCCAGAUGACAUUUUUAAAUUAUUUGUUUUUGAGAAUGGUUCAUUGGAUACCAGAGCAAAAUCUAUAUUCUGUAAAUGGGCUACCUUUAUAUAUUGUGGAAAGCAAUAAUAUAAGUGAGUUGUAAACUUUGUAAACUAAUGCUUACAAAAAAGUGAGCCAAAAAGUAGAAUAAAUAAAUUUCUGAAAUACAUCAUACUAGAUGAUUUGGUAAUUUCCUAAAAUGGUUUGUUUUAAGCAAAUUCUUUAAAUAAUAGUAAUCUUUUGAUGUGGAGGAGUGCGUGCACUCAUAGACAUAUAAUUUCAACUUCUUGAGAGGCCAAGUCAAGAAGAGCUGAGGACUUUGAGUGUUUGACUAUAGAGCAGUUUGAGAAAAGUAAACAGGUUCUGAGCUAUAAGUCUUAUGACAGUGGUGGGGCAUGUCUUUAAUCCCAACACUCAGAAGGCAGAAGCAGGCAGAUCUCUGAGGAACCCUGCCAAGAAAAGGGUAGGUGAUAGAGUGCUUACUUAGCAUACAGGGCCCUAAGUUGAAUUUCCAGUACCUUCCAUAAAACAAAAAUAAAUGAAAACUGAUGAUCUAUGUUCUUGGUGUUUGAGAGAUAGGGUGUUAUAUGGUUCUGGCUGGUCUUGAACUUGGAAAGUAGCGUUGCGUUCCUUUCUCUGUUUCAUGUUGGGGUUACAGCUGUUUGACCACUCCUAUGGUUAUAGUGUUUAUUUGUACAACAUGCUCUUAAUAAAAAUUUAAAGAUCCCCGUG